UUGCAGGCUGNAACCCGCCUGCAUGAAGUCGGAAUUGCUAGUAAUCGCGGAUCAGCAUGCCGCGGUGAAUACGUUCCCGGGCCUUGUACACACCGCCCGUCACACCAUGGGAGCCGGUAAUACCCGAAGUCAGUAGUCCAACCUCGUGAGGACGCUGCCGAAGGUGGGAUUGAUGACUGGGGUGAAGUCGUAACAAGGUACC
RNAcentral lists this ribosomal RNA (202 nucleotides) under uncultured bacterium. Its description in RNAcentral is "partial 16S ribosomal RNA". It matches the Rfam family "Bacterial small subunit ribosomal RNA", at positions 1298 to 1500 of the family's 1533-position model. The record is from RNAcentral.